This 450-nucleotide ribosomal RNA is filed under the name uncultured bacterium. RNAcentral's name for it is "partial 16S ribosomal RNA". It matches the Rfam family "Bacterial small subunit ribosomal RNA", at positions 354 to 796 of the family's 1533-position model. The record is from RNAcentral.
GUGGGGAAUAUUCCGCAAUGGACGAAAGUCUGACGGAGCAACGCCGCGUGAGUGAUGAAGGUUUUCGGACUGUAAAGCUCUGUUGUUUAGGACGAAAGUGCCUGUUGCGAAUAGUUACAGGUAUUGACGGUACUGAACGAGGAAGCCACGGCUAACUACGUGCCAGCAGCCGCGGUAAUACGUAGGUGGCAAGCGUUGUCCGGAAUUAUUGGGCGUAAAGAGCAUGUAGGCGGGAAUCUAAGUCUGUUGUGAAAAUGCGGGGCUCAACCCCGUAGUGCGAUGGAAACUGGGUUUCUUGAGUGCAGGAGAGGAAAGGGGAAUUCCCAGUGUAGCGGUGAAAUGCGUAGAUAUUGGGAGGAACACCAGUGGCGAAGGCGCCUUUCUGGACUGUGUCUGACGCUGAGAUGCGAAAGCCAGGGUAGCGAACGGGAUUAGAAACCCGAGUAGUCC